Molecule: ribosomal RNA, 433 nt
Filed under: uncultured bacterium
Lineage: Bacteria
Description: partial 16S ribosomal RNA
Rfam family: Bacterial small subunit ribosomal RNA
Source: RNAcentral
AACGAACGCUGGCGGCAUGCCUAACACAUGCAAGUCGAACGAGACCUCCGGGUCUAGUGGCGCACGGGUGCGUAACGCGUGGGAACCCGCCCUUAGGGUCGGAAUACCUCCCCGAAAGGGGUGCUAAUACCGGAUAAUGUCUUCGGACCAAAGAUUUAUCGCGUUUGGAUGUUCAAGCGUUGGAUUAGCUAGUGGGUACGGUAAAAGCCUACUAAGGGGACGAUCAAUAACUGGGUUGAGAGGAUGAUCAGCCACACUGGGACUGAGACACGGCCGAGAAUCCUACGGGAGGGAGGAGUGGGGAAUAGUGGACAAUGGGCGAAGGCCUGAUCCAGCAAUGCCGCGUGAGUGAUGAAGGCCUUAGGGUUGUAAAGCUCUUUUACCCGGGAUGAUAAUGACGGUACCGGGAGAAUAAGCUCCGGCUAACUACGUG